Molecule: ribosomal RNA, 305 nt
Filed under: uncultured bacterium
Lineage: Bacteria
Description: bacterial SSU rRNA
Rfam family: Bacterial small subunit ribosomal RNA
Source: RNAcentral
AUAGACCUACGGGGCGCAGCAGUAGGGAAUUUUCGUCAAUGGGCGCAAGCCUGAACGAGCAAUGCCGCGUGAACGAGGAAGGUCUUCGGAUCGUAAAGUUCUGUUGACGGGGAAAAAAGACCGGGAAAGGGAAUGAUCCCGGAGGAGAUAUUACCCGUCGAGGAAGUCACGGCUAACUACGUGCCAGCAGCCGCGGUAAUACGUAGGUGGCGAGCGUUAUCCGGACUGAUUGGGCGUAAAGGGUGCGUAGGCGGUCGAUUAAGUCUGGCGUGAAAGGUACCGGCUCAACCGGUAUAGGCUCCGGG